This is a non-coding RNA of Candidatus Azambacteria bacterium, 73 nucleotides long. NCBI's taxonomy places the organism in Bacteria, Candidatus Azamiibacteriota. The record is from Rfam.
GGUGCUGUGGCGAAGUGGAAACGCGGUCGUCUGCAAAACGACCAUUGCAUGGGUUCGAUUCCCAUCGGCACCU